AGCUUGCAUUCAAUGUCCUCCAGCAAUCAACUAAUACAUAAGCUGAUUCAUUUGUCCCUGCAACUGCCACCUGAGCCCGUGCAUAGCCUUGGUUAUUUCGUGCAGUUGAAACUGCAGUUGAAAGAGCCUGCCUAGCUGAUUCUCCAAAUGUUGAAUUCUUUCUUGUUGUAUUUCCACACACAACUUCAUCUUCAGGUCCUUUAUAUUCCUCAUAGAAGCUAUAGUUUUCUGAUCUCACGAAGCAACCAUCAAGAAAAAUGCGACCCCCAUUGUAAGGAUAGCAUUGUGGUAGAACUGUUCGGGCAGCAGUGUAGCAUAAUACACAGUCAAGUAAAGAAAGGUCUCUAU
Molecule: unclassified non-coding RNA, 348 nt
Filed under: Hevea brasiliensis (rubber tree)
Lineage: Eukaryota; Viridiplantae; Streptophyta; Magnoliopsida; Malpighiales; Euphorbiaceae
Source: RNAcentral